RNAcentral lists this ribosomal RNA (488 nucleotides) under uncultured bacterium. RNAcentral describes it as "bacterial LSU rRNA". It matches the Rfam family "Bacterial large subunit ribosomal RNA", at positions 15 to 509 of the family's 2925-position model. The record is from RNAcentral.
GGGCACACGGGGGAUGCCUUGGCGUCAAGUGCCGAUGAAGGACGUGUAGCGCUGCGAAAAGCUGUGGGGAAUUGCGCUAGAGUGUCGAUCCACAGAUAUCCGAAUGGGGAAACCCGGCCUGAGGAAAGUCAGGUCAGCCACUGAUGAACACAUAGUCAGUGCGCGGGGAACUCGGGGAACUGAAACAUCUAAGUACCCGGAGGAGAAGAGAUUAUUCCGUAAGUAGUGGCGAGCGAAAGCGGAGAAGCCCAAACCAAGAUGGGGUAACCUGUUUUGGGGUUGUAGGACAGACAGUAGGGAUUAGCUUGUAGUGGAACGGUAUUGGGAAAGCCGACCGUAGGGGGUGAGAGUCCCGUACACGAAACGAGCGAAAUUCUGGUCUGUAUCCUGAGUACUACGGGGCACGCUAACCCUGUAGGAAGCUGGGGGGCCCACCCGUCCAAGGCUAAAUACACUUGACGACCGACAGUGAACCAGUACCGUGAGGG